ACAUUUUCGUUGGUAAAGCUCCUAUUUGCUUUCUCUGAAUCUGUAUCAGUUCAUGCAGUUCUGCCAAGUGGGGAAGCUUUGCAGGACACUGCCACUGUAGCACUUGAAAUAUUAAGAUGAACAGAACAAGCAAAAGGUGGGAAAACUGGAAAGAUUGAAUGUCCUUUGGAGUUCACAGAGGUUUGGCAGUGGGAGGAGAAAAACAAAACGAAGCAUAGUGGGAGUGUUGAACAGACUUUCCCAAGAUCCCCAGGGAAAUCAACAAAGAGUAUUGCUUUCUUGCAAAUUGGCAGGAAGGUUUCCAGCAUAAUGAAAGAGUGCAGAAAAAACAAGUUAAUUCAAGGAUAAAACUGUGAAUAAGUAGAAGAGAAGACUACACCAGGAAAAGAGACGGAGAUAGAGGCCCAAUAGAGAUCAGUGGAGUGUUGCUGUUCUGGCCAUAAACCUCUGUGGACAGUGGCUCCUUUGCCAGGGUUUUGCUUGGGCCUACUGGGCUAGUUCUGCUCACUCAGCCUGCCAGGCUGUGCUCAGCACACACUACAUGCCUGGAUC
Molecule: long non-coding RNA, 552 nt
Organism: Homo sapiens (human)
Lineage: Eukaryota; Metazoa; Chordata; Mammalia; Primates; Hominidae
Product: long intergenic non-protein coding RNA 1965
Source: Ensembl